RNAcentral lists this long non-coding RNA (4833 nucleotides) under Brassica napus (rape). Its description in RNAcentral is "long non-coding RNA (BNAP_LNC008098)". Lineage: Eukaryota; Viridiplantae; Streptophyta; Magnoliopsida; Brassicales; Brassicaceae. The record is from RNAcentral.
ACAGGUCUAUAACGCUCUUGGAGUGAGUUAUGUCCGAGAGGACAAACUGGACAAAGGAAUCGCUCAGUUUGAAAUGGCGGUGAAAAUUCAGCCUGGUUAUGUAACGGCUUGGAACAACCUUGGAGAUGCUUAUGAGAAGAAGAAGGAGCUGCCUUUGGCGUUGAAAGCGUUUGAAGAGGUUUUGUUGUUUGAUCCUAACAAUAAGGUGGCUCGGCCUCGCCGAGAUGCGUUGAAGGAUCGUGUUAAACUCUAUAAAGGCGUUGUGGCGGUCAAGUCCAAGAAACGGUGACGAAAAACCGAUAAACCAAGAACUCCCCCUCGUCUCUCUUAUGUUAUUUUUGUAAGGACAUUUUGUGUUAUUAUUAUGAAUAUGAAACUUGUUUACUGUUUUUACUCUUAACAAUAAAUCACUCAUCUUAUUAUUCAGAUAUCGAUACAAUGUUUAUAAAUAAUGAUAACAUGAUGAGAAAUAAGGUCACGCAAGAUACUAAAGAAGCAACAACGUAAAUAGAAGAUGUUCAGUGCAUGUAACAUAGAGGUUUUUGUUGUCUCAAGGACACUUGAGCUUAUUGCCGUGAGUACGGAGAUUAGCGUAGCAAGGACAUGAUGCUGUGUUGCCUGAGGUUCCGGGCGGCACGCACUGGCACUUGGCACAGCAACUUCCACAAGCUCUGUAACACACUUUCUUCCUCGACGUCUCUCUGCAUCUCCUCGCGCACGCAUACCCACAAUCUGCAAAUAUUUGGCUCAUACAUUAAUCAAAAAGUUGUUUGGCAAAAUAAAAGAAGAAGACUUAGAAUGUUACUAACUGAAUGGUGGACGAUGAUGGUAUGUUCUCUUAAACGCCUCCACUUGGUUCUCCUCGUUCGUCUGAAUCUAUAAGCAACACAAGAAACCGAGUUUAUUUGAUAUGGAAAGCUUGUUUUAAUAUGUUUUUAUUAUUUUUAUUUACCUGAGAAGCAGAGGAAGUUUCAGCGUUGCUGGACGAAGAUAGAUCUGCAAGUACCUGUGAAAGAAUCAGACAAGAACGUCUCAGUGUUUUUAGUUAGUAUGUUUGCAACAAAGAGAAGCUAAAUCUUGAACAAUGUUUUGAUCAUUUUUACCUGAGAAAGCAGAAGAAGAGAGAUGAGCAUAACAAAGGCCACCACUUUCAUCUUCUCCAUCUUGUCGGUUUUGAAGUAGUUUGUGAAAAUAGAAGCUGUGGAUGGUUCUUUAUAUAGACACAAUGUAGCUAUUUUGUCUUCUUCCUCUUUUCUUUUGUUGAGUGAAAAAAAAACCUCAUGUUGAUAGGUAUCACAUGCAAUAGGCUUUCAUCGCUGGACUAGACAUAAAUCACAGAUAUUAGAUUGAGUUUUGCUGUAAAGUGUUGGUGUUUGAUGCAACAGUUUUGAUUGGUCUUUGAGGAUAUAUCUAAUUUAUUACGCAAGGACGAAGAAGAAAAUUCAAACCUUGUUCACUGAAAUCUAAAUCAAGCUUAAAUACAUGAAAUGAGUGUAAAUUUACAGUAAAAAUAUAUAGGCUGGUUUUAACAAGGUACUGUAAUGUGUGUGACUUCACUGACUUGUCGACACACGUAUGGAGAGACAAGUGUACUUAAAGUGUAUAAAGAAAGAGGCAAUUAGGUAGUUUGAAAAUUAAUGUCUUAAUGAUAUCUUUGCCAUAAGAGUGUUAUAACAGCUGUCUCUUAGUUCAGACAUAGAACAGCUGAGAGAGAUAGAUGAAGAAAAACGCAUGCAGACGCAAUGUUGUUCGAAAAAGCAGAUGGCAAUGUUUGGCUCCGAUUGGUGAAAACGUAAUAUUAUUACUGUCUUCUAUAAACCACAUUCAAAAUUUCCAAACGCGCAUGAUGAGACUUUAAACGGAGAACGAAACCGAAUAACUACUUAGGCCACGAUUGUUUAUUUGCAUAAUUGCGUCUGUGUUGGUGUUUUCAUGUUAUAGGGAUCAAUAUGUAAGUUCAAACGCAAAGCUUUAUAUAAAUUUAUAUAGUUGAUAGGUUAUAUGCAUUUAAUACGGACAGAUUCGCAAGUUAAUAACUUAUUGAGAUGACUUAAUAUGAUUUUUACAAGUCAUCUCAAUUUUUUUUUAAACACUUAUUGAGAUGAUUUUACAAGUCACCGAUAUUAAUACAUGGGGUUUCAUCGACCAUACGGAAUAUGCAAUAAUAAUUUGAAACUAAAGAUUUGUAUGUUUCGUCUCAACAGGACUUUCUCUAGGUGUUCUGAAUCUGGCUAUUGUCGUCCCACAGGUAAAGAAAACGUUUGAAAUCAGUUUUAUUUAAUUAUUUACAAAAAAUGUUCACAUCCUGAUAUGUAUUUGUUGUUUCAUUAAAACGUAGAUGGUGGUAUCUGUGGGAGGUGGACCAUUCGAUGAACUAUUCCAUGGUGGAAACAUUCCGGCGUUUGUGCUAGGAGCAAUUGCGGCCGCGGUGAGUGGCAUAUUGGCUUUAACCGUGUUGCCUUCGCCGCCACCGGAUGCUCCAGCUUUCAAAACUGGGGCUAUGGGAUUUCAUUAAAGUUUUAGCAGUGUUUCAGUGGCUAUGUAACUCUCAUAAAACUGUAGUGUUAUUGUGCAAAUCCUACAUAAAGAGAAAAAAGGAAAUUCAUCUUCUUGGGUUGUUGGUUUAUAUUGUACCUAAACCCAUUGUGUUCCUUUUUUGUAACUGAAAUUUUCAAUUUGGAGUAUAUUUCACCUUUUGCCACCUUCAAGGCUUCAUUAUUACUACUUCAUUGUUUUGGAUCUUUCAGUCAUAUCUCACACAAGAAGAAUUGUAUUGUUUUUUUUGUUUCAUAAUAAAACUUAAAAUGUAAUAAUUAAUCUAGAAGAAUAAUUAUUUUUGAUGGUUUUCUUUUUUUUGUCAAGUGUAUUAGAAAUUUAGAACCGAGUUGAGUUAUACAUGUAAUUAAUAAAUACUUUUUAAAAUUCCAAAAAUGCAUUAUGUUACCUUACUCGUAGUUAUAAAUAAGCCUCUUUAGCUAUUACAUCGGCUUCACGUACAAUUUUCCUCACAAAUACAAAAGCUAAAAUCAGGAUGAGCUAGGCUGAUACUAUCUUUGGUGAGUAUAGCUACAGACUGGUUCUUUCAACCGUAAGAUAUAUCCUGAUGAAGAAAUUGUCUCCUACAACAGAUCAAACACACACAAGUUUAGUACAUUAAUUCUUCACGAGCUCCUGAUCUGCAGAUCUGAAUUUAAUAUUCGGAUUAUAAAACCUAUAACUAGUGUCUUAUUAAUAACGUUAGUCAGGUGUAGACCACCAUCAGUUCAGGACGCAAUCUGAUUGUAAAGCUGAUUUAUUGUUGCAAUAUAGUUUUCACAUUACAAAAAAAAAAGCACAAAAUGAUGAAUAUACACUUUUAUGUUUAGAGCAAUAAAAAUAAAUAAAAUAUGCAGAUUAAAAUUCUAAUAAAGAGAAAGAGAGAGAGUCCGGGCGGGGUAAACCCGGAAACCCGAAGAGUAACGCGGGUGGGCCUUAUCUUCAUCUUCCUCACCACACACACAACAAACACGCACACUCGUGGAUUUCAAACUUUGAGAGUAAUCUCAUCGGGACCUUUAUGAUCUCAUCGAACAUGCUUCUCCAUACGCUAUCGUCAUCGUCUCCACCCAUUCACCGCCUCUACCUCCACCAUUCUCAGAUUCUCCCUUCCUCUUCCUCUGUGUCUCUCAAGUUCCAUCCCAAAACGAUUUCUUUACAGGUAAACACUCCAACUUUCUCUCAAAGAAUCUGACUUUAUUGCAAUAUUAGAGAAUUCAAUUGGCUAAUCUUCCUCCAUGUUCUUUAAACGUGUGGAUGAAGGCAGAUACAUGGAAGGACUUUAGCUAUACGAUCUGCAGAACUUGCUGCUAGAGGGCUACCUUCUUUGAAGAAGCUGCCAAGCAAAGGAUCUACCUUUCUGCUGGGACAGAGCUUGUUGAUGGUCUCUGCUUAUCCAAACAUGGCAUCAGCGUCAGAGAGCGUGAAGCAUGAACCGGUUUACGAAGUUGGAGAGUUGUUUGAAUUAGGUAUUCAGCUUUCUUACUUGCUGUUGCUACUGGGUUUGCUCGGAGUUGGUACUUUCUAUGUGAUUCGUCAAGUACUUGUCCGCAGAGAGCUUGACCUCUCUGCCAAAGAGCUACAGGUAUUGAUUCUGAUCCCAAGUAUUAACCUUUGUGUUAGAAAUAGAAAAUUAGAUGAAAGGCCAGUAGAGAACUGAUGAAAUAAUAUUUGAUGUCUCUGAAUGUUUUUAGCAAACCAAUGUUAUUAGACUGAUUCAAGUAAGUAGCCAUGCUUAGACAGACUUUAAAACAUCUGAUCAAAACUGUUUUAUAUGGUUUUUGUGUUUGUCUGAAUAAUCUGAAGGAGCAAGUUAGGAGCGGGGAUGCAAGUGCAACAGAGCUCUUUGAGCUGGGUGCAGUGAUGCUGAGACGCAAAUUUUAUCCUGCAGACAACAAGUUCUUGCUUCAAGCUAUCCAGAAAUGGGACGGUGACGAUCAAGAUCUUGCUCAGGUAAUAAUACAAAUUAAUUUACACACACAAGCACACACUGUUUCCAUCAAGUACAAAUGAUGAGUACAAUUCUCGAGACAGGUCUAUAACGCUCUUGGAGUGAGUUAUGUCCGAGAGGACAAACUGGACAAAGGAAUCGCUCAGUUUGAAAUGGCGGUGAAAAUUCAGCCUGGUUAUGUAACGGCUUGGAACAACCUUGGAGAUGCUUAUGAGAAGAAGAAGGAGCUGCCUUUGGCGUUGAAAGCGUUUGAAGAGGUUUUGUUGUUUGAUCCUAACAAUAAGGUGGCUCGGCCUCGCCGAGAUGCGUUGAAGGAUCGUGUUAAACUCUAUAAAGGCGUUGUGGCG